CUACGGGACGCACCAGUGGGGAAUAUUGCACAAUGGGCGAAAGCCUGAUGCAGCGACGCCGCGUGAGGGAUGAAGGUCUUCGGAUUGUAAACCUCUUUCAGUAGGGACGAAGCGAAAGUGACGGUACCUAAAGAAGAAGCACCGGCUAACUACGUGCCAGCAGCCGCGGUAAUACGUAGGGUGCAAGCGUUGUCCGGAUUUAUUGGGCGUAAAGAGCUCGUAGGCGGUUAGACACGUCGGAUGUGAAAACUGGUGGCUCAACCACCAGCCUGCAUUCGAUACGGUCUGACUUGAAUGUGGUAGGGGUAACUGGAAUUCCUGGUGUAGCGGUGAAAUGCGCAGAUAUCAGGAGGAACACCGAUGGCGAAGGCAGGUUACUGGGCCAAUAUUGACGCUGAGGAGCGAAAGCGUGGGGAGCAAACAGGAUUAGAUACCCGAGUAGUC
RNAcentral lists this ribosomal RNA (444 nucleotides) under uncultured bacterium. RNAcentral describes it as "partial 16S ribosomal RNA". It matches the Rfam family "Bacterial small subunit ribosomal RNA", at positions 339 to 795 of the family's 1533-position model. The record is from RNAcentral.